This 107-nucleotide small nucleolar RNA is filed under the name Arabidopsis thaliana (thale cress). Its description in RNAcentral is "Plant small nucleolar RNA R71". It matches the Rfam family "Plant small nucleolar RNA R71". From Rfam's summary of the family: R71 is a member of the C/D box family of snoRNAs containing the C (UGAUGA) and D (CUGA) box motifs. Multiple nearly identical copies of this snoRNA have been identified in Arabidopsis, and it is thought to function as a 2'-O-ribose methylation guide for 18S ribosomal RNA. The record is from RNAcentral. Lineage: Eukaryota; Viridiplantae; Streptophyta; Magnoliopsida; Brassicales; Brassicaceae. RNAcentral also lists the same sequence under 2 other names.
AAGCCAUGAUGAGGGCAUUGGUUGGUGUAACCCUUGAAACGCUCCCAUGCUUCAGAGAAGCUUUCACCAGUCUUCUGUGAAAAGCAAGAAAUCUCAUUUCUGAGUCU